This 497-nucleotide ribosomal RNA is filed under the name uncultured bacterium. Its description in RNAcentral is "partial 16S ribosomal RNA". It matches the Rfam family "Bacterial small subunit ribosomal RNA", at positions 28 to 507 of the family's 1533-position model. The record is from RNAcentral.
GAUGAACGCUGGCGGCGUGCCUAAUACAUGCAAGUCGAGCGAACAGACGAGGAGCUUGCUCCUCUGACGUUAGCGGCGGACGGGUGAGUAACACGUGGAUAACCUACCUAUAAGACUGGGAUAACUUCGGGAAACCGGAGCUAACACCGGAUAAUAUAUUGAACCGCAUGGUUCAAUAGUGAAAGACGGUUCUGCUGUCACUUAUAGAUGGAUCCGCGCCGCAUUAGCUAGUUGGUAAGGUAACGGCUUACCAAGGCAACGAUGCGUAGCCGACCUGAGAGGGUGAUCGGCCACACUGGAACUGAGACACGGUCCAGACUCCUACGGGAGGCAGCAGUAGGGAAUCUUCCGCAAUGGGCGAAAGCCUGACGGAGCAACGCCGCGUGAGUGAUGAAGGUCUUCGGAUCGUAAAACUCUGUUAUUAGGGAAGAACAAAUGUGUAAGUAACUAUGCACGUCUUGACGGUACCUAAUCAGAAAGCCACGGCUAACUACGUG